AUACGAAAGGUGCAAGCGUUGUUCGGAUUUACUGGGCGUAAAGAGAGUGUAGAUUGUUUAUUAAGUCGGAUGUGAAAUCCCGGGGCUCAACCUCGGAACUGCAUUCGAUACUGAUAGGCUAGAGUUUGGGAGGGGUAAGCGGAAUUCCGUGUGUAGCAGUGAAAUGCGUAGAUAUACGGAGGAACACCUGAGGCGAAGGCGGCUUACUGGACCAAUACUGACACUGAGACUCGAAAGCGUGGGUAGCAAACAGGAUUAGAAACCCCAGUAGUCC
RNAcentral lists this ribosomal RNA (274 nucleotides) under uncultured bacterium. RNAcentral describes it as "partial 16S ribosomal RNA". It matches the Rfam family "Bacterial small subunit ribosomal RNA", at positions 523 to 796 of the family's 1533-position model. The record is from RNAcentral.